RNAcentral lists this ribosomal RNA (2146 nucleotides) under Salmonella enterica subsp. enterica serovar Enteritidis. RNAcentral describes it as "partial 23S ribosomal RNA". It matches the Rfam family "Bacterial large subunit ribosomal RNA", at positions 711 to 2833 of the family's 2925-position model. Lineage: Bacteria; Pseudomonadati; Pseudomonadota; Gammaproteobacteria; Enterobacterales; Enterobacteriaceae. The record is from RNAcentral.
AGACCCGAAACCCGGUGAUCUAGCCAUGGGCAGGUUGAAGGUUGGGUAACACUAACUGGAGGACCGAACCGACUAAUGUUGAAAAAUUAGCGGAUGACCUGUGGCUGGGGGUGAAAGGCCAAUCAAACCGGGAGAUAGCUGGUUCUCCCCGAAAGCUAUUUAGGUAGCGCCUCGUGAAUUCAUCUCCGGGGGUAGAGCACUGUUUCGGCUAGGGGGCCAUCCCGGCUUACCAACCCGAUGCAAACUGCGAAUACCGGAGAAUGUUAUCACGGGAGACACACGGCGGGUGCUAACGUCCGUCGUGAAGAGGGAAACAACCCAGACCGCCAGCUAAGGUCCCAAAGUCAUGGUUAAGUGGGAAACGAUGUGGGAAGGCCCAGACAGCCAGGAUGUUGGCUUAGAAGCAGCCAUCAUUUAAAGAAAGCGUAAUAGCUCACUGGUCGAGUCGGCCUGCGCGGAAGAUGUAACGGGGCUAAACCAUGCACCGAAGCUGCGGCAGCGACACUGUGUGUUGUUGGGUAGGGGAGCGUUCUGUAAGCCUGUGAAGGUGUGUCGUGAGGCAUGCUGGAGGUAUCAGAAGUGCGAAUGCUGACAUAAGUAACGAUAAAGCGGGUGAAAAGCCCGCUCGCCGGAAGACCAAGGGUUCCUGUCCAACGUUAAUCGGGGCAGGGUGAGUCGACCCCUAAGGCGAGGCCGAAAGGCGUAGUCGAUGGGAAACGGGUUAAUAUUCCCGUACUUGGUGUUACUGCGAAGGGGGGACGGAGAAGGCUAUGUUGGCCGGGCGACGGUUGUCCCGGUUUAAGCGUGUAGGUGUGUGUUCCAGGUAAAUCCGGUUCACUUUAACACUGAGGCGUGACGACGAGGCACUACGGUGCUGAAGCAACAAAUGCCCUGCUUCCAGGAAAAGCCUCUAAGCAUCAGGUAACAUCAAAUCGUACCCCAAACCGACACAGGUGGUCAGGUAGAGAAUACCAAGGCGCUUGAGAGAACUCGGGUGAAGGAACUAGGCAAAAUGGUGCCGUAACUUCGGGAGAAGGCACGCUGACACGUAGGUGAAGUGAUUUACUCAUGGAGCUGAAGUCAGUCGAAGAUACCAGCUGGCUGCAACUGUUUAUUAAAAACACAGCACUGUGCAAACACGAAAGUGGACGUAUACGGUGUGACGCCUGCCCGGUGCCGGAAGGUUAAUUGAUGGGGUCAGCGCAAGCGAAGCUCCUGAUCGAAGCCCCGGUAAACGGCGGCCGUAACUAUAACGGUCCUAAGGUAGCGAAAUUCCUUGUCGGGUAAGUUCCGACCUGCACGAAUGGCGUAAUGAUGGCCAGGCUGUCUCCACCCGAGACUCAGUGAAAUUGAACUCGCUGUGAAGAUGCAGUGUACCCGCGGCAAGACGGAAAGACCCCGUGAACCUUUACUAUAGCUUGACACUGAACAUUGAGCCUUGAUGUGUAGGAUAGGUGGGAGGCUUUGAAGUGUGGACGCCAGUCUGCAUGGAGCCGACCUUGAAAUACCACCCUUUAAUGUUUGAUGUUCUAACGUGGACCCGUUACCCGGGUUGCGGACAGUGUCUGGUGGGUAGUUUGACUGGGGCGGUCUCCUCCUAAAGAGUAACGGAGGAGCACGAAGGUUGGCUAAUCCUGGUCGGACAUCAGGAGGUUAGUGCAAUGGCAUAAGCCAGCUUGACUGCGAGCGUGACGGCGCGAGCAGGUGCGAAAGCAGGUCAUAGUGAUCCGGUGGUUCUGAAUGGAAGGGCCAUCGCUCAACGGAUAAAAGGUACUCCGGGGAUAACAGGCUGAUACCGCCCAAGAGUUCAUAUCGACGGCGGUGUUUGGCACCUCGAUGUCGGCUCAUCACAUCCUGGGGCUGAAGUAGGUCCCAAGGGUAUGGCUGUUCGCCAUUUAAAGUGGUACGCGAGCUGGGUUUAGAACGUCGUGAGACAGUUCGGUCCCUAUCUGCCGUGGGCGCUGGAGAACUGAGGGGGGCUGCUCCUAGUACGAGAGGACCGGAGUGGACGCAUCACUGGUGUUCGGGUUGUCAUGCCAAUGGCACUGCCCGGUAGCUAAAUGCGGAAGAGAUAAGUGCUGAAAGCAUCUAAGCACGAAACUUGCCCCGAGAUGAGUUCUCCCUGAGACUUAGAGUCUCCUGAAGG